UCCUGACUGACCGAUAGUGAACCAGUACCGUGAGGGAAAGGCGAAAAGAACCCCGGCGAGGGGAGUGAAAAAGAACCUGAAACCGUGUACGUACAAGCAGUGGGAGCACGCUUAGGCGUGUGACUGCGUACCUUUUGUAUAAUGGGUCAGCGACUUAUAUUCUGUAGCAAGGUUAACCGAAUAGGGGAGCCGAAGGGAAACCGAGUCUUAACUGGGCGUUAAGUUGCAGGGUAUAGACCCGAAACCCGGUGAUCUAGCCAUGGGCAGGUUGAAGGUUGGGUAACACUAACUGGAGGACCGAACCGACUAAUGUUGAAAAAUUAGCGGAUGACUUGUGGCUGGGGGUGAAAGGCCAAUCAAACCGGGAGAUAGCUGGUUCUCCCCGAAAGCUAUUUAGGUAGCGCCUCGUGAAUUCAUCUCCGGGGGUAGAGCACUGUUUCGGCAAGGGGGUCAUCCCGACUUACCAACCCGAUGCAAACUGCGAAUACCGGAGAAUGUUAUCACGGGAGACACACGGCGGGUGCUAACGUCCGUCGUGAAGAGGGAAACAACCCAGACCGCCAGCUAAGGUCCCAAAGUCAUGGUUAAGUGGGAAACGAUGUGGGAAGGCCCAGACAGCCAGGAUGUUGGCUUAGAAGCAGCCAUCAUUUAAAGAAAGCGUAAUAGCUCACUGGUCGAGUCGGCCUGCGCGGAAGAUGUAACGGGGCUAAACCAUGCACCGAAGCUGCGGCAG
This 733-nucleotide ribosomal RNA is filed under the name Shigella sonnei. Its description in RNAcentral is "partial 23S ribosomal RNA". It matches the Rfam family "Bacterial large subunit ribosomal RNA", at positions 474 to 1208 of the family's 2925-position model. Lineage: Bacteria; Pseudomonadati; Pseudomonadota; Gammaproteobacteria; Enterobacterales; Enterobacteriaceae. The record is from RNAcentral.